Mesocricetus auratus (golden hamster) is the source of this 1956-nucleotide long non-coding RNA. RefSeq lists it as uncharacterized. The record is from RefSeq and is a predicted model, not a curated record. NCBI's taxonomy places the organism in Eukaryota, Metazoa, Chordata, Mammalia, Rodentia, Cricetidae. The transcript has 2 exons.
ACCUGGUGCCAAGGAAACUCCCAUGAACCCAUAAGCUAAGACUCCUAGAAAUAGUGGAGAGGGUGUCUUAAACUAACCAAUCAGAUUGGUGACUACCCAAAUUGUCAUCACAGAGCCUUCAUCCAGUAACUGAUGGAAGUCAAUGCAAAGAUCCACAGCAAAGCACUGGGCUGAACUCUGGGAGUCCUGUUGAAGAAAGAUCAAUGCUUCACAUAACCCUUGUAAGAGGAACUUAAAGUACACGAGAAUUAACAAAGAGACCUACAACAGCUGGACAACGCACAGAAAGUGAGAGGCUUUGGAGCACUUAAUCCUAAAUGGAGUAUCUUCAUCAAACUCCUCCCCAUAAAGAUCGGGAAUCUAGAUAUCUAAGGGAAUGGGACCACUGACUUCCCAGAGUUCCUGACUAUGGUGGCUGAAAAUAUGAAAGAGACAGUGUGGAUGAAGAGGAGAUCUAACAGACCUUCUAUACAAGAGUAUGGGCCCCAGCUUUUAGGAAGAGAACCAUUGCCUUUGUCACCUAUGCUACAGGAGUGUGCUAGUCCCUUUCUGGGAUUAUAUUGACAGUUCAAGUGAACUCUGUCCUCUGAUUUGGUCAGUUUUUGCUCCACAGACUCCCCAGCUAUCUCUCCCUUUUCCCUCCUGGCUCCUCUGUGUGUGUCUCUCUCUCCUUAUUUGGUCCUUCCUCCAAACCAUUUCUUUCUCUGCUUCUCCAAGGUUUCUCACCCCUCAGAGUUUCAUCUCAACCCCUUUCAUUGCCGCUACUCAGCUCCUGAUUAUGGUGUCACAGAGACCUAGAAAAUAGUCAACUCCAGGACCCCUUCUCCCAAAGGGCUCCCCUGCCUGGUUGGAGCGAGUCAUAUAGUCUCACUAGCCCGGCCCUGUAUGAUAAGGUCCCAGCCAGGGCAAGAUGGCUGUGGUGUAGGACACAUGGUGGCUGUGGAGCCACAGAAGCAGGAGCUGCAAAGUGUGGAGGGGCAUAGCAACCCCCUUCUUUAUCUCCACAGAGACUCCAGGCAUCUAGGCAGCCUUGCCAGCUGGCAACUCAGGACCCUACCUCAUUGUGGCCAAGAGCUAUGCGGCCAGGUUUUCUAUCUGGGAAGGGUCCCUUAGGCAGGAGACUGAGAUAAAAGCUAUGCUGGAUCCUCCCUAUUGGGUCUCCAAACCCGCUUCCUCUAACUGACAUAGGACAAUCUUUCUGUUUUGGAACUCCCUUCCCCACGCUUGUGAUCUGCCAUUGUUUCUGCCCCUCCCCCAAACCUGGGUACUCUUGAUUUUGUUUCCAUUUCUCAGCUACAGAGAAGCAAAUGCCUUUUGGACAGAGAUAAUCAUUUUUAAAAAGUUGUCUUAAACCCCCCACAAAAGGUUGAUAUUUAAAAAUACAUGUACAGGUAAUCUUAAUUAUUUUAAAAAAACAGUGACUAGAUAUGAGAAAAGUGUUUUAAAGAAUGGGGUUAUAUUUUUGGUAAAAAAGGGCUAAAAGGAAAAGAGACUAUUUUGAGUAAGGAUGAAUUUUGUAUGAUAAAAUAAGAUUUUUGUCCCAAGAAUAAAAAUUAACAGAUGAGGACAAAAAAAAACCCCACAAAAGUUAAGGCCAAGUUGCAAAAGGUCAAUGGAGGAUGGGACUUAAGGAUGAUAUAUAUUUGGUGAUUAAGAGUCUGCCCAAGGGUGCUGUACUCUACAAGACUUUUGUCCAUGUGGUUCCUGCCAAACCCGAGGGAACCUUCAAACUGGUGGCCAUGCUUUGAUCCUGUGGAGACCAUCGGAUAGAGACUCGAGCCCAGUUCACAGGGGCAUGUAAUAGCGGAAGUCAAGGGCCAGGGUGAGGGCAAGGUCCCCACGGAAGGGACCUGUUGGAUGGUGACUCUGUGGGAGCCUUUGUGCUGUGACUCUUGGAAACCCUUUGGUAGCUUGGACAUGCCAUCAAUAAAGCUAGCUGGAGUCCUGCAAAAAAAA